UACGUAGGUGGCAAGCGUUGUCCGGAUUUACUGGGCGUAAAGCGUGCGCAGGCGGUUGUGCAAGACAGAUGUGAAAUCCCCGGGCUUAACCUGGGAAUGGCAUUUGUGACUGCACGGCUAGAGUGUGUCAGAGGGGGUAGAAUUCCACGUGUAGCAGUGAAAUGCGUAGAUAUGUGGAGGAAUACCGAUGGCGAAGGCAGCCCCCUGGGAUAACACUGACGCUCAUGCACGAAAGCGUGGGGAGCAAACAGG
Molecule: ribosomal RNA, 252 nt
Filed under: uncultured bacterium
Lineage: Bacteria
Description: partial 16S ribosomal RNA
Rfam family: Bacterial small subunit ribosomal RNA
Source: RNAcentral